RNAcentral lists this ribosomal RNA (406 nucleotides) under uncultured bacterium. RNAcentral describes it as "partial 16S ribosomal RNA". It matches the Rfam family "Bacterial small subunit ribosomal RNA", at positions 30 to 526 of the family's 1533-position model. The record is from RNAcentral.
AUUGAACGCUGGCGGCAGUCCUAACACAUGCAAGUCGAACGAGUGGCGGACGGGUGAGUAAUGUCUGGGAAACUGCCUGAUGGAGGGGGAUAACUACUGGAAACGGUAGCUAAUACCGCAUACCAUCAGAUGUGCCCAGAUGGGAUUAGCUAGUUGGGUGGGUAAAGGCUAACCAAGGGGACGAUCCCUAGCUGGUCUGAGAGGAUGACCGGCAACACUGGAACUGAGACACGGUCCAGAUUCCUACGGACGGCAGCAGUGGGGAAUAUUGUACAAUGUGCGCAAGCCUGAUGCAGCCAUGCCGCGUGUAUGAAGAAGGCCUUCGGGUUGUAAAGUACUUUCAGCGGGGAGGCGUUACCCGCAGAAGAAGCACCGGCUAACUCCGUGCCAGCAGCCGCGGUAAUUC